Long non-coding RNA from Nannospalax galili (Upper Galilee mountains blind mole rat), 2735 nucleotides. RefSeq lists it as uncharacterized. The record is from RefSeq and is a predicted model, not a curated record. Lineage: Eukaryota; Metazoa; Chordata; Mammalia; Rodentia; Spalacidae. The transcript is spliced from 4 exons.
ACUAAGUCACGCAUUUUAGGAAAGAAUAACCUAUUACGCUUUAAAAAGCAGGAGGGGCUGGAUGGGCAGGCCCCCGCAGACCCUCCUCGAGGGUAGUUCCUUUUCCCACAGAGAGACUGGGGGUUGCAGACAUGGGACGUGGUACCACAAAAGGGAAAUUGAGGAUGUGAAAAUUUGAAGAUGACCUCCAGCUGGGCAGACAGGGAAUAAAGGGUGGGACAGUUUCCUUCCUGUAUAUACCUGAGACCUCAGAGCUGUUCUACUGCUGGAGGGAAAGAAUAUGGAGGUACUUGGCCAGGUUCUACAGAAAUGGGAGCAGACAUACAUCUCCUAUGCUGACCUUGUGUUCCCACAUCAACACUGCACAUGGGUCUGAGCAACACAAACCUGCAUGGAACCUGGGGAUGCAGCCUAACAGCCUGCCCCUUGCCCAGAUCCCAGCACACCCAACAAUGGACCCACUAAGCUGCACUGAUACUGGUGAUGGGUUUUGCUGCCUGCCUGUUCCCACCUAGAUGUGAUGCCCCAGACUUGCUGCUUGGCCUGGCCUUCAAACACCACAAGAAACCACAUUAUGCAUGUACAUGCAGGUAUGCACAUGUGUAUGUAUACUCAUUAAUGAGUAUGCAUACAUCUGUACAUGUUCUUGCAUGCAAAAGUGCACAUUUUCUGUUGUGUAGCAUGUGUGUACUGGUGUGUAUGUGCACACAUAUGGCCAUGUGUCCAUCAACGUUUCCUCUUUCACUACUUCAGGACACUAGUCAGUAAAGUGUCAGUCACCAACACUUUGAAAUUCACAACCAACCAUUUGACUGAUUAAAUGGUUGUUAAAUGAUUAAUUGUGUGGUUUUGUUUCAUGUCACCUGGGGCAGAGCAUCCUUCUAAGGCAAUGCAUGAAAAUCCAGGUAUCUGUAUCCAAUGAUUCUACAGUAAAACUUGGCUUGUUUGACAGUUUGUCUGCCCAAGUCCAUGCACAGUGCCAUUGUAUCAUUUCCUUAAAACUGAGUCCUCAGAUCUAAGGACAGUUUCUCUUGCUGAAGAAAUAAUGCUUUACAAACUCAGCAUUUAUCUCGUAAAAAUGCUAAGAUAUGUUUGUCUAAUUUUGGAAUUCUAAUAAACUCCUGGCAGGAAAUAGAAUAAGACCCACUUGAAGAAAGGCCAAGACCUGCCUUGUUUUCCAGGUAACACAAAAUAUCAGCUUUGAACAACUGCCUUAAAGCUUCAGGAACGUAGAGAAAUAUGAAUGAAAGCUGCUGAAUUGGAGUGCAGAGUAGGGUGGUACCAGGAAACUGUCUAUUCAGGAGGGAUGGUUGGCAGCUCUAUGCCAGGUUCCCUGAGAACUGAUCUUUAUAAGAAUCUGACUUUAGCAAUAGUGGGAUUUUAUUUCCUCUAUUAACCUUUAAAAAUGAAACCUUGCUACUCUACAUCUCAUAUCUGCCUCUGUAAAAGUGAAGCUAACAAUAUUUGUGGACUUGGGAGUUAGGAACAUCAAAUCUUGAAACACUUCACCUAGUUUGUUGGGCUUGAGGAAGAGGCUAAUUUGCCCAUGGUCCCUGCCUGGAACAAUGCAGGUUACCCCUGCUGCUCUGGCCAGACAAUAUGCAUAAUUUGCCUGCCCUGGCCACUGGUUUUCCCCACCCCAGUCCUCUCUGCAAAAUUUCUGUUCCAAGAAAUGUCUGAAGCUUUAGAGAGGCCACUGACUUUGAUAGAGAUUUUGAAAAACUCAUGCAGCAUCUAAGAUUUUGAGUUGUGCGAAAUUCAUAAGACUAAAUGCCUCAGAAAACACAAAGGUCCAAGGAGGAUUGACUUGGUACAUUUAUGCCACCCAGAGGUUCAUUCCACAUAGGCUGCCUCUGCAAGGAGCCAUCCUGUGCUCACCCCCCCCCCCACCAAGCUGGAGACUGGCCUAUAACCACCUAUGAGGGCUCUGUUCUCAGUUGGGAACACCUGGCAAUGUGAUAUACUUGGAUUUUGACAAAUAGGAAAAAGUAUCUUGAGUCUCUUUCUGCUGUGAUUUGUAAUAUUUCUGCUUAGGUUGAUGGUCAACAGACUGCUAACCUGGAUCAGGAGGAUUGGGCUGAAUGACCCAACAGUGGGACCAGUGAGUCAGGCUAAACCCCCUUUCUGAACUUGCCCCAAGAGAACAAAGGCCUGAUAUAGGUGAGAACCAAGUAAACUAGCCAUGAGUAAUUGCUUUUCCUCUGGUGGGUUCAGUAUAGUCAUCAGGACUGAACCUGUUGACUCCUUGAUCAGAUCCUCAAACUUCAAAGAAAUUGGCUAAGCAUCAGUAGGCCUAGUUCUUACCGCCACAGACCAACACAUGGCUGGUGGCAGGCCUCACCAUUCUUCAUGGAAAUACGGUGGGACUCCUCCUUCUCUAGUGGCCUUGACAUAGAGGGCAGCCCAGCCAAGUCCCAGCUGGGACCAGAAGGCCACAAUCACUAGGGGUGCAGGGGAGCUCUGGGCAGGACAUCUGGGAGCUGAGGAAAGGCCCUAUCAUGUGGUCUGCAACUGGGAACUGUGCCUUAGCCAUUCCCUGGUGGCUUUAUCACAGUCAGAACUAGCCUUCCAUACACUGAAGACUCUACCCAGGAUUUCCAUGUCUCCUCUGGCCUGAAGUGCUUGGUACUGGUGUUCAUGUAACAGAGAAACCGCUCCCCUCUAGCAUAGGCAAGAGGCAUAUCUUUUGGGCCAGAGCACUGCUCCCAGCUGGUCUGCCAGUGGUACCUACCUGG